RNAcentral lists this unclassified non-coding RNA (505 nucleotides) under uncultured Glomus. RNAcentral describes it as "SSU rRNA". It matches the Rfam family "Eukaryotic small subunit ribosomal RNA", at positions 569 to 1077 of the family's 1831-position model. Lineage: Eukaryota; Fungi; Glomeromycota; Glomeromycetes; Glomerales; Glomeraceae. The record is from RNAcentral.
AGCAGCCGCGGUAAUUCCAGCUCCAAUAGCGUAUAUUAAAGUUGUUGCAGUUAAAAAGCUCGUAGUUGAAUUUCGGGAUCAAAGGAUCGGUCAUGCCUUGGUAUGUACUGGUUUUAUUGGUUCUCACCUUCUAAAGAACCAUAAUGUCAUUCAUUUGAUGUUAUGGGGAAUUAGGACUGUUACCUUGAAAAAAUUAGAGUGUUUAAAGCAGGCUUACGCUUGAAUACAUUAGCAUGGAAUAAUGAAAUAGGACAUCAGAUUCUAUUUUGUUGGUUUCUAGGAUCGAUGUAAUGAUUAAUAGGGAUAGUUGGGGGCAUUAGUAUUCAAUUGUCAGAGGUGAAAUUCUUGGAUUUAUUGAAGACUAACUACUGCGAAAGCAUUUGCCAAGGAUGUUUUCAUUAAUCAAGAACGAAAGUUAGGGGAUCGAAGACGAUCAGAUACCGUCGUAGUCUUAACCAUAAACUAUGCCGACUAGGGAUCGGAUGAUGUUAAUUUAUAAUGACUC